CCUGCCCACUGGUUUCAAAUUAAAAAAUUAUAAGUAAAUUUUAAGAUUACUUAAAGGACGCGGUAUUUUGACCGUGAUAAUGUAGCAUAAUCACUCGCCACUUAAUUGGUGGAUAGUAUGAAUGGUUAAACGAAUAUAACACUGUCUCAAGUAAAGGAUUUAUAAAAUUGGAAUAAUAGUAAAGAUCUAUUUAUAAUUAUAAGACGAAAAGACCCUAUAGAGCUUAACUAUAUUCUUUUUAUAUUAAUUUUAAUAUAAGUUUACUUAUAAAAAUAAAAAGAUUGGUAGUUUAGUUGGGGCGACUGUUUUCUAUAAUAAACGAAAACAAACAAAAAUUAAUUAAAUAAUUUAUUGUAUAAUUAAUAUAUUUAACAAUUACUAUAGUAGGUAAUAAUGACCCGUUUUUUCUCACAAAAAGAUAAACGAUUAAUAAAUAAAAGCUCCUUAG
Molecule: ribosomal RNA, 448 nt
Filed under: Coryne pintneri
Lineage: Eukaryota; Metazoa; Cnidaria; Hydrozoa; Anthoathecata; Corynidae
Description: partial 16S ribosomal RNA
Rfam family: Bacterial large subunit ribosomal RNA
Source: RNAcentral